AUGUAGGGAUACAAGCCACUAA
This 22-nucleotide microRNA is filed under the name Danio rerio (zebrafish). Its description in RNAcentral is "Dre-Mir-135-P2a_3p* (star (passenger))". Lineage: Eukaryota; Metazoa; Chordata; Actinopteri; Cypriniformes; Danionidae. The record is from RNAcentral.